UACGAAGGGGGCUAGCGUUGCUCGGAAUCACUGGGCGUAAAGCGCACGUAGGCGGCUUUUUAAGUCAGGGGUGAAAUCCUGGAGCUUAACUCCAGAACUGCCUUUGAUACUGAGGAGCUAGAGUCCGGAAGAGGUGAGUGGAACUGCGAGUGUAGAGGUGAAAUUCGUAGAUAUUCGCAAGAACACCAGUGGCGAAGGCGGCUCACUGGUCCGGUACUGACGCUGAGGUGCGAAAGCGUGGGGAGCAAACAGG
RNAcentral lists this ribosomal RNA (253 nucleotides) under uncultured bacterium. RNAcentral's name for it is "partial 16S ribosomal RNA". It matches the Rfam family "Bacterial small subunit ribosomal RNA", at positions 524 to 776 of the family's 1533-position model. The record is from RNAcentral.